ACACCUGUUCCUGUGCAUUGUGCCCCUCAUUCAAAAACCUGUUCCUGUACGUGUACCCCCAUUCAAAAACCUGUUCCUGUACGUGUGCCCCUCAUUCAGAAACCUGUUCCUGUACGUGUACCCCCAUUCAAAAACCUGUUCCUGUACGUGUACCCCCAUUCAAACACCUGUUCCUGUACGUGCGCCCCUCAUUCAAACACCUGUUCCUGCACGUGUACCCCCAUUCAAAAACCUGUUCCUGUACGUACCCCCAUUCAAACACCUGUUCCUGUAAAUGCCCCUCAUUCAAAAACCUGUUCCUGUACGUGUACCCCCAUUCAAAAACCUGUUCCUGUACGUGUACCCCCCAUUCAAAAACCUGUUCCUAUAUGUGCGCCCCUCAUUCAAAAACCUGUUCCUGUACGUGCGCCCCUCAUUCAGAAACCUGUUCCUGUACGUGUACCCCUCAUUCAAACACCUGUUCCUGUGCACCUGUUCGUGGCCCCUCAUUCAAAACCUGUUCCUAUGCUCUCAUUCAAACACCUGUUCCUGUACGUGUACCCCUCAUUCAAACACCUGUUCCUGUACGUGUACCCCCAUUCAAAAACCUGUUCCUGUACGUGCGUCCCUCAUUCAGAAACCUGUUCCUGUACGUGCGCCCCUCAUUCAGAAACCUGUUUCUAUAUGUGCGCCCCUCAUUCAGAAACCUGUUCCUAUUCGUGCGCCCCUCAUUCAAAAACCUGCUUCUAUAUGUGCGCCCCUCAUUCAAAAACCUGCUUCUAUAUGUGCGCCCCUCAUUCAAAAACCUGCUUCUAUAUGUGCGCCCCUCAUUUUAAAUCCUGUUCCUAUAUGUGCGCCCCUCAAAUUUGCUUCAAAUAAUGAGCGAGUGUGUUCCUCUCUACCCUUUCACCACAUCAGCACUGAAGUUAUGAAAUAUUUCAUUCGUGGACGAAGACAGUCAUUGUGAGGAAACCACAGAACUGCUAUGACUGGAACUGAAGACGUAGCUCAAACACCAGCGUCCCACAUUUUCUUAUGGCUAUUCAGGCCUGGCUUGACAAUCAAAGUUUGGUAUUUCAAAAGGUGGACAUUUAAUGUCCAUCUGGCAUCACUGAUUUUAACAUAAUGCUUUAAAAAUAUACUGCUAUGGUGACCCUGCUUUAAGAACUUCUUCAUUCUUCUUCAUUGACUUCUUAUGCUUCUUAUAGAUUGACUAUUUUUUUUUUUUUUUUGAAACAGAGUCUCGCUCUGUCGCCCAGGCUGGAGUGCAGUGGCACAAUCUGGGUUCACUGCAACCUCCACCUCCCAGGUUCACGCCAUUCUCCUGCCUCAGCCUCCCAAGUAGCUGGGAUGACAGGCACUCGCCACUACGCCCAGCUAGCUUUUUGUAUUUUUUUUUAGUAGAGAUGGGGUUUCACCAUGCUGGCCAGGCUGGUCUCAAACUCCUGACCUUGUGAUUUGCUGCCUCGGACUCCCAAAGUGCUGGGAUUACAAGCGUGAGCCACUACACCCGGCCUAGAUUGACUUUUUAUUUUGACUUUUUAUAGAUUUAUUUUUGUUAUUGUGGUAGGAUGGGAUAGAAAAAUACGUAACAUACUGGCUUAAAUUUCCACAAUGUGCCCUGCGAACAUGGCACAGUGAGUGGUGUUGAGCCUGCAGGCUGUGCCCGCCGAGGCCCUGGCAGCUGUAGGCAGGCGCCGUCUGGACGCUGCACACAGGACCCGCUCUGCUCUCCAUGUGUAAAUUCACGGAGAAACAUGAAUGGCUAAAGACAGAACAUGGUGUCGGAACAGGGGAUCAGCAGUUUUGCACAGGCAGCAUUGAGAGACGUGGUUUACUGUAGUCCGCCUGAAGCUGGGGCAACACUGAACACACAGGAUGAGUUUGGUGCUUUGGAAAGUGUGAAGGCUGCUGAUGGACUCUCUUAUCUUUUACCAGGAGAAGUAACUGAAAUUAAUGAAGCUCUUGCAGAAAAACCAGGACUUGUCAACAACUCGUGUUAUGAAGACGGUUGGCUGAUCAAGAUGGCACUGACUAACCCUUCAGAACUAGAUGAACUUAGGAGUGAAGAAGCGCAUGAGAAAUACGUACAAUCGAUUGAGGGGUGAAAACUAAAUAAACGAGUCUGAAAUAACACAACCCAGCAGGGCUGUCUUAAAUUAGUGGUGGAUGGAGGACUUAGAAUAGCAACUUUUAGCAUUACCGACGGGAAAAAAAAACUAUUCUUAACACUGCCAGUGAAGGAGAAUGCCUUCAACUUUCUUUUUUUUUUUUUUUUUUUUUGAGGCGGAGUUCUGUCUCCCAGGCUGGAGUGCAGUGGCCGGAUCUCAGCUCACUGCAAGCUCCGCCUUCCGG
Molecule: long non-coding RNA, 2334 nt
Organism: Macaca fascicularis (crab-eating macaque)
Lineage: Eukaryota; Metazoa; Chordata; Mammalia; Primates; Cercopithecidae
Source: Ensembl